This 497-nucleotide ribosomal RNA is filed under the name uncultured bacterium. RNAcentral's name for it is "partial 16S ribosomal RNA". It matches the Rfam family "Bacterial small subunit ribosomal RNA", at positions 28 to 507 of the family's 1533-position model. The record is from RNAcentral.
GAUGAGCGCUGGCGGCGUGCCUAAUACAUGCAAGUCGAGCGAACGGACGAGAAGCUUGCUUCUCUGAUGUUAGCGGCGGACGGGUGAGUAACGCGUGGAUAACCUACCUAUAAGACUGGGAUAACUUCGGGAAACCGGAGCUAAUACCGGAUAAUAUUUUGAACCGCAUGGUUCAAAAGUGAAAGACGGUCUUGCUGUCACUUAUAGAUGGAUCCGCGCUGCAUUAGCUAGUUGGUAAGGUAACGGCUUACCAAGGCAACGAUGCAUAGCCGACCUGAGAGGGUGAUCGGCCACACUGGAACUGAGACACGGUCCAGACUCCUACGGGAGGCAGCAGUAGGGAAUCUUCCGCAAUGGGCGAAAGCCUGACGGAGCAACGCCGCGUGAGUGAUGAAGGUCUUCGGAUCGUAAAACUCUGUUAUUAGGGAAGAACAUAUGUGUAAGUAACUGUGCACAUCUUGACGGUACCUAAUCAGAAAGCCACGGCUAACUACGUG